This is a long non-coding RNA of Betta splendens (Siamese fighting fish), 771 nucleotides long. RefSeq lists it as uncharacterized. The transcript has 4 exons. The record is from RefSeq and is a predicted model, not a curated record. Lineage: Eukaryota; Metazoa; Chordata; Actinopteri; Anabantiformes; Osphronemidae.
CCACCCCCCCCAACCCGGGAGAAGCAGGGGGCAGUGCAAAAGGCACCCUGGAACCCUGCAACUCAGCUUGAACAACUGGACCUGACAGGAUUCAGGAGUGAAGCAGCUGUGUGGUUUUCUGGAGAGUCGUCACUGUCGACUGGAGACUCUGAGAUUUUCCCAUCAGGAGUCGCUACAGCGAAUCCUCCUUUUGCAUCAUUGGUCGUCCUCUUGCCUGGCAGCUCCAUCUCUAACAUCCUUCUUCCAAUGAAUUCAGUAUCUCUCCUCUGCACAUGUCCAAGCCAUCUCAGUCUGGUCUCUCUGACUUUGUUGCUAACACAGGCAACUUGAGCCGUCCCUCUGGCAAUAUGUGAUACAACCCAUCUCAUCACUAACGUUGAAGGAAAAUGGCCAGGGUCAGUGCAUGAUUCCUGAAUCUUCAGGGAGUCAUCACUAUGCUAUACCUUUUAACCUGGUAUGUUGUAAUUUACACAAUUUCUUGUUUUUACUGUAUUGUUUUAUUGUUUUGCACAUUUCAAUCAUUACAGGAUAGUACAAUGGCUACUUGUUGGGGGGGGCAGAGGGUUCCCUUGUCUGCCCUAUUUAAUGACACCCUACUCUGAAUCUGAACCUGGACCUGGGUUCAGCCAGGCCAACAGCAGAACACAGGCCAGCAGAACCAUAGGCAUCCUGAAGGCGAGGGUCCAGCGUCUACGUGGCCUCAGGGUCAGUCCAGAGAGGGCACGUGACAUUAUAGUAGCUUGUGUUGUCCUUCACAGCAUUGCCACAAUA